Molecule: non-coding RNA, 763 nt
Organism: Anas platyrhynchos (mallard)
Lineage: Eukaryota; Metazoa; Chordata; Aves; Anseriformes; Anatidae
Source: RefSeq, a predicted model, not a curated record
CUUCCUCACCUGCAGCAGCCCCGGCCCUGCUCCAAACGCCCCCUCGGACCCGCUCCCUUCCCCCGGCCCCGAGCCUGAAAUCGUCCCAGCAUGAGUGACAUUGGCUUUCCUAAUGUAAUGACUUAUGAAAGAUAUAAUCAUGUGUUAAAUUGAAUCCUCCGCUUAACUGUUAAUGGUGUGCUCUGGGCACAUUUACGUAUUAGAUGCUAUGGUAACUAAUUACCACUAGAAGAAGGGAUAAUACACUUUCCAGACUUUGACAAAUAAUUAUGAGUGUUCACAUCCCUGCUAGCAGCAGUUGCAGCGGAUCUGCUGGAAUGACUGGUGUCUAUCCUGAUACUACUAUCUACAGAGAUUUUCAGAUGCUUCAAGGCUAGGUUCCUCCUUGCUCUAUGUACCUAUGAAUGUUUCCCUCUCUCCUCCCUUGGGCUAAUUUCAGCAAUAAUCUUGAAGUGCCUGUGCACUUGCUGUGCUUGUGCACUGGCAAGUGAAAUGAAGCCAUCAGCUGAUGCCCUGAAGGCCCAUCCAGCUCCAGAAUACAACUUCUAAUGGUGGCCUCCCUCUGAACCACUGGUCUUGAACUGGAAGACCUGUAUCUCCCUUACAACGCUCUGUUUUGAAUCAAGGAUGAAGAUUUCACUCUCACAGCACUUCUAAAAUCAGCAUGAAGCCUUCAAUGUAGACUGAUGUACUGGUUUUGGCAACAGUAGGGUGUGACCUGUAACUGUGGCACUCUGGAAUAAGUAAUUUACUACACUGUUAU